This 502-nucleotide ribosomal RNA is filed under the name Trimeresurus sabahi buniana. RNAcentral describes it as "partial 16S ribosomal RNA". It matches the Rfam family "Bacterial large subunit ribosomal RNA", at positions 1852 to 2620 of the family's 2925-position model. Lineage: Eukaryota; Metazoa; Chordata; Lepidosauria; Squamata; Viperidae. The record is from RNAcentral.
GCGACGCCUGCCCAGUGAAUAAUUAAACGGCCGCGGUAUCCUAACCGUGCAAAGGUAGCAUAAUCAUUUGUCUAUUAAUUGUAGACCUGUAUGAAAGGCUAAAUGAGAGUCCAACUGUCUCUUACAACAAAUCAAUAAAACUGAUCUCCUAGUACAAAAGCUAGAAUACUGACAUAAGACCAGAAGACCCUGUGAAGCUUUAAUAAACCCAUUAAACCAAAUAAUGCUUACUUUCGGUUGGGGCGACCUUGGAAUAAAAAAGAACUUCCAACAUAUGACCUCCUCAUAAAACUAAGGCAAACAAGCCAAUAUUAGAUCCAGCACCGCUGAUAAUUGAAAUAAGUUACUCCAGGGAUAACAGCGCUAUCUUCUUUAAGAGCCCAUAUCAAAAAGAAGGUUUACGACCUCGAUGUUGGAUCAGGACAUCCCAGUAAUGCAACCGUUACUAAAGGUUCGUUUGUUCAACGAUUAACAGUCCUACGUGAUCUGAGUUCAGACCGGA